Chrysemys picta bellii (western painted turtle) is the source of this 5926-nucleotide non-coding RNA. Lineage: Eukaryota; Metazoa; Chordata; Testudines; Emydidae. The record is from RefSeq and is a predicted model, not a curated record.
AUCACUAAAAGGUAAAAACAGCCAUUUCAAUGACACAUACUACUAACUUUUAAUAAUCUCAGCAGGAGUUUUAUAUCCUCCAUGACAGCUUAAUUUAUCUUAAUUAUAAUACCAGGCCCUAGUUACCAUGUUUCCCUUAUUUACAAAUGUCUCAAAAUCCAUUUAAACAUUUGGGAGAGAAUAAUCAGAACCCUAGAAAAAUGCAGCCAAGAUUUUCAUAUUUAAAAAUAUACCACAACAGUUUUGCUCAAGUGUUUGCCACAUAACCUGAUAUUUUCCCUACCUGUCAGUGACUCAGUAAAUAAGUUUAGAAACAUGUUCUGAAUUCCCACUUUUUAGCAUUGUUUUGUAUGUCAAGAGUAACUCUGCAAGCUGUCCUCUAGGAAACUGAAACACAAACAUAAAAUAGAGACCAUACUGGAAGUAUUUCAUUCAAAACAGAAAUCAAGAUAUACUGCAGCUCAAGUUACACUGCUUUUUGUAAGUGCAUUUUGGCUUUUACGAAUAACUUAGUAAUUCUGACUUACUGAAGAACAGUAAACAUUGGGUAUAGUCUGGAAGUAACAGCAAUUUUAGUGUCAAGUCUCAAAAUAAAUGAGUCGCUUUUGUUGGCCUCUCUUUCCUCCAUAUCUCAGUAUUUAAAGACUGGCCCCUGACCUUCUCAGCUGGGGGCAAGAGGACUGCAAACAGUCUUACAUUUCUGAACAGAAAGUGACCAAUACUUUCCUUCACUUAUUCCUGUUAAGAACAGGCUGGUUACUAAAUAAAUAAAGAGCGGGGGAGGGAGUGGAAAUCAGUGCCUAAAAUCCCUCAUUAGAAGUCACAUCUACCAGAGAAUGAAGUGUCGUGGCAGGGCAGUGACAUUAAGGGCUGCUCUUAAUGUCUGAUCCUAAAAAAAAAAUGGAUUUCUGUGUGUCAUUGCCCAAUUUUAUAUGCCUUGGGAUGAAAGCCAGUAAUCAGGAUUUUCCCCAUGGUCUCUCAUCUAAACUAACAAAUGAUAAAAUCUAAACUAGCUCAUAGCCAUCAAGUUUUGUGCUGCUCCAUGUGUCACCUUAUGCAAAUUAAUGGUCUAAAUUGCAUAUUUACAGAUAUAAAUUUCCCUGCAGCUGUGAACUCCAGCUCUGAAUAAAUUGUAUGGAUUUAGUUCUCAUUGUGUAGUCGGGGUGUAGUUUUUCACCGUAGCUAUGUUGCUCUAACCCCAUAGUGUAGACGUAGACCACAGCAAUGGAAAGGGUUUUUCUGGACCUCCCUAAGCACCAGUAGGUAAGUCACCGGAAGCAUUCUUCCAUCGACCAAGCUGCAUCUACACCAGGGGUAAAGUCAGCAUAGCUAUUCUGUCCAGUGUAUGGAUUUUUUACACCCUUGAGCACUGUAGUUAUGUCAAUCUAAGUUUUAAGUGUAGACUGGGCCUCCAUCUACAGGGCAGCAGCAGGGCAAGCUUCCCCCACACAGUGUCCUGAAAGGCCCUUAAAGUUCUUGGCCUCUCUACUGAGUCUGCAGUUAGACAUGUGACAUCUGGUGGAAGGAAGUUAUAUGUGCUACAAUCAAAAAAUGAUAGUGUGAUCCCAGGGCCUGUGAAACAAUCCAAGUACUGUAGGUAGUGGAAGGACAUUUUCACUUUAACUCACUCACUAAUGGAGCAUUUUAUAAUUAAAAUUUUGAACUACUGAAAAAAAUUAAUCUGGUUUAUGCAGUAUGGACAUAAAACAGCAUACUAGGUGAUACCCUAGUAUUAGUUGGUCAAGUAUUUUGUGUAGACAGACACUGAAUGUUAGCACUGUUAGAAUGCUUUUUGUCUCAGUUCAGCUGAACAGUUCUUUCCCUUUAGGACCCUUAACAGAUAAUGUAUAUUAUUUUCCAUGUAACUUGUUUUAAGUGAAUUUAUUGCAGGUUAAAUGAUUCCAUUUUAGACCUGGAAACCAGGAUCCUCUCUUUAUCCACAGAGGGGAUACAGCACUAUGAAUCCCCAUAUUGCCCUAUCAGGUUGCCUCAGUAGUUGGCCUGGAGAAGGGACUACUCCUUGAUUGAGAGGGAAUUUCAGUCUCUGUGGCCAUUCAAUCUUUGGCCUCUUCUUCACCAUUCAUUUCUUACAGCCCUCUGAACAGCAAUCAUGUGGAAAUGACUGGGCUAUUAUUGAGGUGAUGGUAUGAGCUUCCAUAGUCCAUUUCCAUUCUAAUAAGGCCUCCAGCUUAAUGACAAAGAAUCUGGGUCCAAUUUUAUUUUUUCUUUACAUCAUCUUGUUCAGUAAGCUCUCCACUGACCAAGCAUUCCAGAAAAUGUAAAUCUAGACUUUGUAAUUCAGGAAUGGUAAUGCGGCUAGAAGUCUGUUAGUUUAAGGGAGCAUUUUUGCUUCUUUAAUCAUGUUUCUUUUUCUGGCUACAGCAGUUUUUCUCGCUCUAACCCAAGUGUUGGUAUACUCCUUUAGUAGCUUUAUUUCUGAAGAAUCUUGAAGAACUUUUUAAUAUAAAUUGGGUCUUCCUUGUGUAAGUGUAGAGAUAUAGGGAGCCAGGGCUGUAUAAAUCCAAUCCCGUCUUCCCCGUCUACUUUAGACAGUAAGCUAAUCACACAGUUUUGACUCUGACCUGAUCUCCAUCCUGUAUUUCUGUACGUGCCCCCAUCUGUCACCUUCUUAUUGCAUGAAAAGUUUUAGCCUGACUCUGUAACUAAAGUCUGCAUGCAGCCUCCAUUUCAUAUGCUCUACCCUGGUUUCUGGUUUCAUUACAACCCAUGUAAUUAAGUAGACCUUGUAGAAUCAAUCCCAGCAGCUGUACAGUGCACACUGUUCCUUUUGUUGUCAGCUUUAUUGUGACUACACAUUGAAGCUUGGCUGUAGAAAGACUGGAUGCCUGGGGGUACGUGGCCACUUGUGUCAUGUUCUGGCGCCUGCCAUUUGCAAUUUAAAGACAUCGGAAGUUCUCAGUCUCCAUUAUUCCCUUAACAUCUAAGUUUAAGUUUUUAUUGACAUAGUUGGACUCUGACCUCAUGGAGCAAUGUUCCUGUGGUGCCUGAUGGUGGAUUUUAAGCUGGUCCUGUUGGUUUUUAAGGCCCUGGCUGUAUGCGAAACCUCAUCCCCUGCCUGGCUAGUAUUUGGCCUCUGUGCACAUCUGCUGCCUCGGUUUCCCCUCUCAGCAGUCAUCCAGGACUUUUAGGUUAUUGCAGUGACUCACCCCUCUGACUAAGUCACAAUAGUUCACUUCUUCCAAAGUUAAAGUCCAAAAGGAAACAAAAUCAUUCUUCUGCCCCCGACUCUCGCCAGGCACAAGUCUUCUGAGUGUCUUUCUUCUCCCUCAACAGUUUUUAGCUUUUCUCUUUGGUUCAGCGGCCAACCUUCCUGGGCUUCAAACUCUCCCAUCUUCUCCCUUAUUGACAAGGGUGUAUGCACCACUCCAUAGAGUGGCAGCAUUGGAGCACCCAUAUCCUCCCUCUUCUACCAGUCUCCAGCCUUGAGAUCCCAAACAGGUGAACUCUGCCCUGUAACCCAAACUGCCCUGACUUUUCUUCCCAGAACCUCUUCCUGUGUGCUCAGCCUGGCCUCCUUGCUGGCCCUUUCCCGGCUGGUCUUCUGCUCUCUCAUGGAGCACACCCUUCCUUGGAGUCUCUCUCCUGACUGACCACAGGCUGCCCAUGUCUCCCAGCAGGUCUCUUAGUCACAUGUGCUCCUCUUAUUAAUUUCCACAUCUUGGGGAGGUGAGCUAAGCCUGUCAUAGAUAAGGCUGAGCUGUAACCCAGAUGAAAGAACCAGUUCACCCUCUAACAGGCUCUGACAACACCCGCUCUCUCGCCAUUCUGCUGUUGAGUUGGUGUUUGUGCUUUACUUUUAGGAGCUUUAGGGCUUGGAACUUGCUCAUCUCCCUCAGUUUCUCACGCUUCUAAAAGAGCACCUAGGAAAUGUGUUUCCAGAGGAGUUUUGUGGGUUUUUUUUUUUACUGUGUCUGCCCUGAAUAGGACCCUUUUAAUUAGGCUGCAUUGUUGGGCCUGCCGCGUGUGGACCCGCGGUAAGUUCGAACUAAGAUACUUCUACUUCAGCUAUGUUAUUCACGUAGCUGAAGUUGCGUAUCUUAGUUUGAAGUGGGGGGUUAGUGUGGACCAGCCCUAAGAGUGGUUUUCUACAUAAUGUGCGCACUCUGUUGCACCUUCCCUUACUCUGACAAGGCCCCGUAUACGACCAUGCGGUAGUGCCCUCACUUUUUCUUUUGUCAAGUUGCUGCAAAAAUCCCUUUGUGUCACAUAAAUAGCUGACGUGGGGGCUUGGUAGAGAGGAGACAAGGUAUCAGCUGAGGAGGCUGGCAGCAGGGGGAGGCUUUUGGAGCAAGAGCUUGGCUCAGAUGCCUUCCCCAGCUGUGAGGAUUUUAAGGGUCCCAGGAAAUGGAGCUCCCUCUGUAAACCCUGAGUGCUCCCAAAGGGGGGGAGGUGAGACGGGACAGCGAGGGAGGGGAGCUAUGCCGCUGAGGGUGUGGCUCCCACAUAUUAUGCCUAGACUAUGGAUUUGUCUUCACUGCAGACUUAACUCAGGCUCAGUUGCUGGGUUUUCCCUUAACAUGCUCCAUGCUGACACAUCCACAUGGGUCACUCUAUCAGUGCUUCACGAUGAGGUAGCCACCCACUCCUUGAGCUAUAGUGCAGACCCCAAAGUAGCUGUUAAUGUGUACUGCUCCCCCGAGGUAGCUGCAGUGAAGACAUACAGCCUUGGGAAGUCGCAACAAUUGAGACAUGGUGGUUUCCGAUCCCUUCCCAUAAACCCAUUAACCAGAGUGGUGGAUUAUCAAUCUGCCUCUGCUCAGCUCCUCCUUCCACUCUGCUCAGCUUCCUGCUUGCAGUUUCUCCAGCUUCACCCUUCUCCAGUGCUUGCUACAGCAGAACAAUGCCUCCUAACAACGCUGUAUCUCAGCGUGCAGCUACACGAACAUAUGUGAAUCUUGGUGCAGCUUUGGGCUGGACCUUGGGACAUGUGCUCAGAUAGCUGUAUUCCUUGUCAUCACCAGAUACAGCAAUAGAGCCGAUGAGGGGCAUGGCAGCACAGUCUGGGGUCAUGCUAUAGCGAGUUAGGCUAUCACAAUAGCCUAACUGACCCUGUGAUCGUUAUCCUCAUGCUUAGCAUGCGGUGAAGGCAGAUGCUGUGCUCCGAUGGUAGUAGGAGCUCCACAGGGCAACCCCCUUCUUCUAUGAACUUUCCUUUGCCUGGGUUUCAGAUUAACUGCUGCCAACCCCCUCCUGGAGCCUUUUCCCACCCAGGUAUGACUCAUCAGAAAUAUCCCACUACUUAUUCCUGGCUGCUGCCACAUGUCCCCAGGAAAGAUGGGAACAGGAAGCAUACAGCUGGUUUAUGGCAGCAGGCUAGGGAGGGGAAAUUGCUUGGUCUCUUUAGGGAAAGGAGGCUUGUAGGAGGGAUUCUCUGCUGUGUUGGGCCUUGGUGUAUACUUGAGCUCUAAUGUGUUGCACAGUACAAAAGGUCUUGCUUAUUCUACUGAUUAAAACACUAUGUUUGAGCUAGGUAUUAUCAUCAUCACUUGCCAUUUCCAGUACUUUUGUUCUUGAAUACGGAACAGAUCAUAUUGCUGCUGUUACAGAGAGGGAUGGAUUUACCCCAAAAAAAUCCUUUACAUUUUUAUUUUCUUCUCAGAAAGUUUUGAGCUGCCUCUGUGUAUUCUUCAUAACGCAUAUGCAAAUAUUCAUUGGGAAGUGAUACCACCACUUUGGACAGUCAAGAUUUUCUAUGUAAGAACUGAAUAUGUUUCCUAUACUGCCAAGAAUGUAUAUAUACGAAGACAUAAGAUUGUAACUUUUGAGCAAGUCACUUUCUUUAACCAUUUGAAAUUUUCUGUUUCUGAAGUUCUCUAUUAAUAUAUUAGACACUUGUCUUAUACUGUGUACUUCUUUGUAUCAGCUGUAUACUAUCCUUUCUCUCAUUAAAACCUGUUCUUCCUCA